UGAGCUUGAUCCUGGCUCAGGAUGAACGCUAGCGGCAGGCUUAACACAUGCAAGUCGAGGGGUAUAAGUCUUCGGAUUUAGAGACCGGCGCACGGGUGCGUAACGCGUAUGCAAUCUACCUUUUACAGAGGGAUAGCCCAGAGAAAUUUGGAUUAAUACCUCAUAGCAUAGCAGCUUCGCAUGAAGCCACUAUUAAAGUCACAACGGUAAAAGAUGAGCAUGCGUCCCAUUAGCUAGUUGGUAAGGUAACGGCUUACCAAGGCUACGAUGGGUAGGGGUCCUGAGAGGGAGAUCCCCCACACUGGUACUGAGACACGGACCAGACUCCUACGGGAGGCAGCAGUGAGGAAUAUUGGACAAUGGGCGCAAGCCUGAUCCAGCCAUGCCGCGUGCAGGAUGACGGUCCUAUGGAUUGUAAACUGCUUUUAUACGAGAAGAAACACUCCUUCGUGAAGGAGCUGACGGUAUCGUAGA
RNAcentral lists this ribosomal RNA (474 nucleotides) under Flavobacterium sp. 01WB04.4-76. Its description in RNAcentral is "bacterial SSU rRNA". It matches the Rfam family "Bacterial small subunit ribosomal RNA", at positions 1 to 484 of the family's 1533-position model. The record is from RNAcentral. RNAcentral also lists the same sequence under 1 other name. Lineage: Bacteria; Pseudomonadati; Bacteroidota; Flavobacteriia; Flavobacteriales; Flavobacteriaceae.